This 449-nucleotide ribosomal RNA is filed under the name uncultured bacterium. RNAcentral describes it as "bacterial SSU rRNA". It matches the Rfam family "Bacterial small subunit ribosomal RNA", at positions 29 to 524 of the family's 1533-position model. The record is from RNAcentral.
AGCGAACGCUGGCGGCAGGCUUAACACAUGCAAGUCGAACGGGCACUUCGGUGUCAGUGGCAGACGGGUGAGUAACGCGUGGGAACAUACCUCUUGGUUCGGAACAACACAGGGAAACUUGUGCUAAUACCGGAUAAGCCCUUACGGGGAAAGAUUUAUCGCCGAGAGAUUGGCCCGCGUCUGAUUAGCUAGUUGGUGUGGUAAAAGCGCACCAAGGCGACGAUCAGUAGCUGGCUGAGAGGAUGAUCAGCCACAUUGGGACUGAGACACGGCCCAAACUCCUACGGGAGGCAGCAGUGGGGAAUAUUGGACAAUGGGCGCAAGCCUGAUCCAGCCAUGCCGCGUGAGUGAUGAAGGCCCUAGGGUUGUAAAGCUCUUUUGUACGGGAAGAUAAUGACGGUACCGUAAGAAUAAGCCCCGGCUAACUUCGUGCCAGCAGCCGCCGUAAG